UGUCCCGCUGGCGAAACUGGCAGACGCGCUGGUCUCAGGAACCAGUGCCCACGGGCGUCCGGGUUCGACUCCCGGGCGGGACACCC
RNAcentral lists this transfer RNA (86 nucleotides) under Litorihabitans aurantiacus. RNAcentral's name for it is "tRNA-Leu". It matches the Rfam family "tRNA". Rfam says of the family: Transfer RNA (tRNA) molecules are approximately 80 nucleotides in length. Their secondary structure includes four short double-helical elements and three loops (D, anti-codon, and T loops). The record is from RNAcentral. Lineage: Bacteria; Bacillati; Actinomycetota; Actinomycetes; Micrococcales; Beutenbergiaceae.